CUGUAUUUUAAACGAUAUCUAGAUUGGGAGACUUGGCCAAUUAAACUUUCCUGAUCAUUUUUGUUCAGAGUUCCAUGGGCAGAUGCACUCAGGCUUUCUUCAUCAAUAAGGGCGCGUUCUUCACACAGCUAUGGAAACUGCAGAUGCAAAAAACACAAGAGAAGAUGGGAAAGAAGAACAUAAAAUCACUCUUGCUCGCCAGCAAAUUCUGUCCUCGACUUUCUUAG
Molecule: long non-coding RNA, 227 nt
Filed under: Rattus norvegicus (Norway rat)
Lineage: Eukaryota; Metazoa; Chordata; Mammalia; Rodentia; Muridae
Description: long non-coding RNA NONRATT032166
Source: RNAcentral